CUGCCACCUAAUAAAGCACCAGAGACCAGCAGGUGGGAUGGCAAGAUAAAAAAUGAUAUUUAACAUUUUGUAAUAACAAUUAACCGGUAAAUAAUGUCUUUUACACCAUGAAAGCCCAAGUAAAUUAAUUCUUCUAAUUAGCUGCCAAGCAGUGAUGGGGAAAGGCAAGGUGGCAGAGGAGCUGGGGCUGUGCCUCGUCCCGCGGCUGCUCCCGCAUCACCCCAUGCACCAGGGCGCGUGUGCCCAAGCGUUAUUCACCCUAUCACCACCGCCAUGCACCACCUCAGCUGUCCCCAAAUCGAGAGGCUGAGCCCCGCUGCAGCCCCCCCCCGAAUUUCCACACUCGCCGUAUUAACCCCUCCUUAACCCAUGGCACGUAGGGAGCUGCGCAGCGCACCGGAGCACACCRGGCUCCUCGAAGCUCCAGAGGGCCCUAAAUCACUGCUAUCUCCCAGAAAAAAAGUGGCAACAAAAUAGUUUAUGGAYGUAAUAAAUUGCGACGGAGGAAAAAAUGUUUCCCUUGAAACAAGCUGCGCGGUUUCCAAUCUGCACACAAAUGGGCCUUCGUGGCGCGCGGGAGUGUUACAAACAGCCCCUCGUCCUGCUGUAACGAGAACAGACAACAAAACAGUGGGGAGGGAAAGUGGAAUUUAUUGAAAACAAUUUUCCAUCACAUUUAUCCCGCCCACUUGCUCUCAUCUCGCCGCGCUCCCUCCGCUGCUGCGCUGCUGCUGGGUGCCGCGCCGGGACCGAGCCCCACCGGUGAGGCUCGGGGACGUGCACCGGGGACGUGCACCGGCCCGGCACGGGGGUGGCAUCCCCGCGCGGUGCCCCAGCACACCAAGACCCGCUUGGCGAGGCGAGGAACGGGGCUGAGCCAGAAAUCCCGCGCGGAGCUGGAGGGCGGCCAAGGCCCGGCAGCUCCUGGCAGCCCCGGCCGGACUCUGCCCCGUCCCUCCCCUCGGCCGGGCGCGGAGGGGGGGGACGGGGACGAGGACGAGCCAUGGCGGCGGCGAGCGAGCCCCGCGGGGCCUGCUACGACGCCAUCGUCAUCGGCGCCGGCAUCCAGGGCUCCUUCGCCGCCUACCACCUGGCCGAGCGGGGCAGGGACACCCUCCUGCUGGAGCAGUUCCUCCUGCCCCACGCGCGGGGCAGCUCGCACGGGCAGAGCCGCAUCAUCCGCAGCGCCUACCUGCAGCAGCACUACGCCCGCAUGAUGCCCGAGAGCUUCCGCCUCUGGCAGCGCCUCGAGGACCGCGCCGGCACCCGCCUCUACAGGUGACGGACCCCCCCCGUCCCCCGUCCCCGGGCCGCGGCGGGUUUAGGGCCCUGCGAAGCGGAAAUCAGGGAAAUCAGCCCAUAUCUGCUUC
This 1370-nucleotide long non-coding RNA is filed under the name Dromaius novaehollandiae (emu). RNAcentral describes it as "lncRNA (ENSDNVG00000015040.1)". Lineage: Eukaryota; Metazoa; Chordata; Aves; Casuariiformes; Dromaiidae. The record is from RNAcentral.